UCAAAAUCCAGCUUUUAUUCUUUCAAUCAACACAUCCAUCCUCAUUUCCCUUCGCAUCCCCGCAAUCCUCAUUCGUUCCUAUCAACGCAUCCCUGCUUGAAAUGGCGCCGUUCUUACCUUGUUAUAUACAACUUCAUGUACUCGUCAUCAAAUAUCCUGCUGCCUGCGCCUGUUCUGCUUGCAACAAACAUCCCCUUUUCAAAAGGUCAAUCUCGCACAGACUAAGAGAGGAAGUCCUUAACUUUGGUUUUUCAUUCUUCACGGUUUCUUUUUAUGUUGAUUCGAAAGUACGCUAUGCCGAAGGAUUUAAUUUAAAUUUGGAUUCUAUUAUGAUUGUAGUUACAUCUUAAUUGUCAUCAGCAUUCCUUUCUAAUGAGUUGUCAAGUGUAGUACUUAUUUUUGACACUUUUAUUUUAGGAGUGUCUCCAGCUUAAUUGGCAUGCAUGUUCUCUGUUACCAGUUUAAAUAUGUUUUUUAUAUGUGAUGUAUUAUAUCCAAAUUUGUUUGGUGAGAAGUUAUUGAAUCAUGCUGUUCUUUGUUUUUAAGCAAAGGCGUGUUCUCUGUUUUUCUUGGCAAUUAUCAAACUGAUCAAGAUGCUUUCAAGUUUUUUUUUUUAUAUAACUAAAAGGAAUUGCUUAAUCUUAUAUUAUUUAAUUUCUACGCAUUCAUGCUUUUCAUUUGAAUGAGAAACUUCAAAACUGUUAUGAUAGUUCAUGUGUACAAAAUAAUAUGUAGCUGGAAACAUUAAUGUGUGAUGAUUAUUGCUAAUAAUUUCAUUUUUUCAUUAUUUUAAUUAAAAAAGAUUGCACUUGGAGCAUUUGCAUUGAAGGCCAAUGCUCUCGAACCUCAACCUUCGAGCACCAAUGUGAAUGCAAACUGGGACACAACAUUUGUUGACCUCGAUUUUCGUUCAAGAGCCCUUGAGCGCGUUCUAUCAAUGCGAUUAGACCUCGUCGAGCCUAAUUCGAACUCGAAUCGAUCCGAAUUGAGUCAAAUUAGAUUCGAUCAUGUUCAAUCAAGCUCGAAUAAUUUGUUUUGAAUGUGACGAGUUCAAUUUGACCCAAAUCUAUCUCAAUUUGAGUUUAAUUUUAUUUAAUUGAAUUGAUUGAGCCUAAUCCCAAUUCUAAACCAAGUCAAUUUGAAUCAAACCUAGCUCAAUUCAGCCUAAGAUAACUCCAAUUUGCUUUUUAAUAAAUUUGAAUUGAUUUCCUAAAUGGAGAAACUGCCAAUUCUGGUCUUGAUCUCUCCGAAAUUCGGACUCUACUGUGGCAAAGCUUCUCAGUCGCGUGAUACACUCGUUUUAGAAACGAGGCAGAGUCGCGUUAGCACAGUUCAGCGAGCAGAGGCUGUUUUGGUGUUUAGAGAGGGGCAGAAUGUCGGGAGACUUUAGAAGGCUGGGACGAAGCCUUCGGUUGGCGGAUUCGCACUCCCUCCCUCUGGCUCUCGGUCGCUCGUUCCUAGACCGAGAUCUCUUCUCCCCCUCUUAUCUCUCUGGUUCGCAGAACCCCAGCAAGACCGAACGCACGACUCUCCCCCUCUCGGUUUUCGCAUAGCCUAGAUCGGAAGACCACCGCUCUCUCCUUCUCGCUCUCGCACGGUCGGAGUCAGACCUCCUCCGCCUUGGUUCGCGACAGGUCCGAACGCCCUAGCUUCUCCCCUCUCGGCUUCGCGCGGUCCAGGACCGAACCUGACGAGCCGACUUCCCUCUCUGGCCGUCUUCUCCUCACGCCGAGACAAGAAGCAAAAGUCUCGGCUCCCUUUCGACAUCUCUGGUUCGUGAAGCCCAGGCCAAAACUCUUUCCCAACUCCCUCACUUGAUCGUAAGCUGUAGCCAAAGUCUUUCACUGAUCUUCCCAUUGGUAAGGUUAUCUCUUAUUUCACUGAUUCUUCUUCCUCUUCUAGGUUUCUUUCACCCCUUCUUCCUUCUUUGCAAAACUAAAAAAAAUGAAAAUGAUGAGUGAUGGAUCCAUUUAGUAGAAUCAUUUAUUAAAAAUUUUAUCUCUCUUCGUAACCUAGUUUUGAUUGUUCCUUAGUUCUUCAACAAAUAACUUCAUGAGAAUAGCUUUAUGGAGUGUUGACAAUUUGUGUAUCCAUUCACAUAAGUUUCUGUAUUGAUUUCUGUUGUUGGAAAGUGGAUAUUUGGUAUAUGAAACAUGUAUUUUGUUUAUGAUUGGUAUGUUAAGAUCCAAAGCUUUAUGCAUAGGUUAUGGAAAAGUAGGGAGAAGCCAUAUCAUUCUUUGUUAAAACAAAAAAAAAAUGUAUGCACUCAAAGUGUUUGUAUUUUUGCCUCUUUAAAAAUAGUAAGGAUAUUUGUCCAGGAGAAAACCAUGGGAAGACUCAUUUGGCUUAUGUUUUUUUUUUCCUGAGAAAAUGUUAGAAUGCGGUAUGACAUUCAUGUACUUAUGAUUCUUUUCUUUUAGAUAGCAAUACACUCAAAAAUAUUCCCACGAUUCGCUUUAUGUAAGUCUUGCGAAUUAUUAAAAUUAAAAGAGGUUGAACUUUUACUUCGUUUCAAUGUUUAAUGGUGAUUGUGUGAAUCGUAACCACGCUAAGAAGUUCUUGUAUUCAUUCGUAUCGUAAACGACAUUUAACAAACCUCUCCUUAAAGAUUUCUUUUACUUUUUAUUUCUCUUUCAUGAGUUUAGAAGAGAACGAUACUUAUGAUCAUAAAUUUAUUCUUUUUUUUCCUUGAAAUAAAAUAACAGUAAAUGCAAUGUCUAUUUUAUAUACUUGUAUGUAUUUUCUUGAAUAAAUCAUGUAUGUUUUGAUGCCCAUUAUUUGUUCUUUGAGUUAUAGUUAUGAGGUUAAAAAAAAAAUAGAGAGAGAAGGUAUUUCCUGGUACCUUUAUCAUGAAUUAUGAUUAAUUUUAAAUUAGAUUCAUAUGGCAUCAUUUGUGAUUUAUAUGUGAUCGUGAAAUAUGAACUUUUUAUGUUGAUUCAAUUGAUGAGUCUUGUGGAUAUUGCAUACAAAUUAUUUGAUGAAAUGCUUUUAAGAAAAAAUGUUAUGAUGAAAUGUCUUUUUGUUAUCUCGCCAAAAUCGCAUAGGGAUGCCAAGAGUAUUUUUUUUGUCACCACUAAGAGCACUUGAAAUAUUUUAAACAAGAUAAAUUUUCAUUAAUGCUUGGUAGAUAAUUGAAUGUAAAGUCUAAAUGUGUUAUUGUACAAAGCAGAUUCAUGUUCUUAUUUUCUUGGACCAUGUAUAUUGUUGGGGUCAAAUAGUUGUCAUGGAAUUUGUGCAUAUCUCAUCUAGCUUGUCAAUGCAUGACAUACAAUUAGAGACACACCAAUACAUAUUCCGUGAAAGAUUUUUGGUAAGAAUUAUUGUCUUAUGAUGAAUUAAAAGGGUGUUAGUAAUUCUUUAUGAUGAGAUACAUGUUGUCGAAAUUCUUGGUGGGGUUUGUUUGUUUUAUUUAUGGAUGUUCAAAUGUCUUGUUAUUCGAAACUCCAUGCUCAAGUUUUAUAGGAAAUUUCUUGUACUUUAUUUGGUGUGUAAAGUUAAUUGGAAAAUUUAUCAUGAAAUAGAAUACCAUGAAUUCAUAGUUCAAUUGGAUAUAUGCAUGCUGGAUGGUAUCUUUCUCAAACGCUAUAUUUAUAUGUACAACAAGAGGGUAAAUCUGUGUUAAUUUUCUUUCCUUCCUCUUAUAUUUAACAUGUACAUUAAGAUUUAAAUGAUAAAUGGAAAUUAGUAUUAGACAAAACUCUUAUCGUUAAAAAAAAAAAAUCUUAUGACUUUAUUGUUUAUGGUUGCAAAUCAGACUUGAUAUGAAGUUUAUAUUUCUUACUAAUUAUGUUUUAAAAUUUAUUUUAUGUAUACUUGUAUCUUGAGCAUGAGUGAAUAAGGUUUGAUUGGUAAGGUUUUGUGUCUAAUGUCAUAGCUAGUUUGAAGGAAUGUGAUGUAUACAGAUUGAAAUCCACUUGCAUGAAUAGUGAUCUAAAUGAGAGGUUAAGUUUAUGGAUAUUCCUUCACAUUAUGACAAGUCAUAUGCCGAGCAUAGUGCUCAUCUAAAAAGGAUCAGGCGGUACUUACAUUUAUUGUGUUUUCCCACACUGCUUAGCGUUUUUUUUUUCAUCUCUAUGCAAGAUAGUUUGGUGUUGUAAGUUAAAAUUAGUAUAUGGUAUGUGGUGGAUGGAAAACUUUUUUUUUUACAUUUGCAUUAUAAAUGUUUGUCAUUUAAAAACUGAAAAAAAAAGAGAAACUUAAAUUGCUACUUUGUAUUCAUUUAGUACGUAUAUGAAAGAGAAAUAUGAACUUUUGAAAUUAGAAAUUGUAGAAGUCAUGGAGUGUGGUGGUUCUUGAUUUCUUUAGUUGAAUUUGGGUGCAACAAGCGAGGUAUAUGAUAUUGUCAAAUGUUAUUUCUUUCUUAAAGUUCUUGGGCUAUCAAGUUAUGAUUCUCUAAGUGAAGUAUGAUUAUUUUUUUUCCCAAUAGCAUGAUGGUUUUGCAUCUUUUGUAAGCUGUGGUUGUGAAUUUGAUAUCGGAAAAUAAGCUUGUUGAGUUUGUUGAAAAUUCCACUCCUGCUCUAUGUUAACCUCAAUUUUCAAAGGGUAUACGGUUCUAACGCAAGGUGGCAUGCUCCAUGUUGGAAAGUCCUAUGAAUGGUCUUCUUGUAGGGAAGUUUUAUGCAUUAUCCCUUUUGUUGAAAACUAUUUUAUGAUUCGUUUGGAAGCCCAAGCGAAUUUGAUGCUAGUUUUAUGUAUGAAAUAAAUGAAGUUUCUUAUAGUCUAUUUGAGAUGAAAUUUGGUAAGCUUGGUUUGAAUCAGCACAAUUUUAUAUAAUCUUCUUGUGGGAUGACUUUUAUGUACUAUGUUGCAAGAACCUUUAUAUAUUAUUAUUCAUGAUGUUGAAAAUACUUUUUUUAAGCAUAGGAAAAACAAAUUGCAUCAAACUCCUCUCUUGCCAUUACCUUUUUAGUAGAAAGUGUUGGGUUCUAACAUUGAAUACAUGUGUUGCCUCAUGUUGGAGAAGUUUUAUGUUUUGUUUUAUAUUGAGAAAUUGUAUGAUUUGUUUUAUAUUAAAGAGCUUUAUGAUUUGUUUUAUAUUGAGGAGAUUUGUGAUUUGCUUCAUGAUUGGAAAAAUUUGCAAAUGGCUUUUUAUGUUAAAGUUUUAUGAGUCGUCUUAAAAAAAUAUUAUAAGUUGUUUUAUAUUGAAAGAAUUUCAAGAGUGAUUUCACAUUGGAAAGCAUUGCAAGUUGUUUUAUUGUUGGAGACUUUAUAGAAAGUUUUAAUGAGUUUUGUGAAUUUGCUUUGGUUGGAAGAAGUUUUGAUUUGCUUAUGUUGAGAUGAUUUAUUAGUUGUUUUAAAUUUGUUUUAAAGAGCUUUAUGCGACGAGUUAUAUGAAGGAUUUACAAUGAGGGGUUUUAUAGAACUUUCUCGUUGAAAAGCUUUAUGUUUUCUUCCCCACUCCAAAUAAAAUAAAAGGUACUUGGUUGUUUUGUGUCGGGAAGAGUUUUUGUUGUUCGAUUUGUGCGAGAUUUUCAUGUGUCGUUUCAUUUGAAAUUUUUUAUAAGUUAUUUUGAGAUUCGUAACUUUAUGAUUAGCUUUGAGUUGGAAGACUCGUUGAUGUCUUUUUAGAACGAGGUGGUAUUUCAUAGUGGAGUUGUCUUUCUUCUUGCCUGCACUUAUUUUCUAAGUGGUUUUUUUUAGAUUAGGGGGUAGUAAGAGCAUGCUGUUUUGGGUUUUAAGUGAGAGAUAUAUUUUAGUUGCAUUUUAGGGGUUUGUGUCUCUUUGUCGUUUGGAGCUUUGUUUAGAGGGUAGUUAGGUUGUUUGGGUUGAGUCUUAUUCAAGUGCCUUGUUUGGAAUGUAGGGAUAGUAAAGGGCAUUGAAAAUGUCUUCUUCCUUAUUCGUAUCACAUCGAAUUGGGGGAGAAGGUUAUUUUAGAGGCACACUUGACUUUAAAAGAAGUGUGCCCAAUAACAACAAUGCCUACAUUCCUUUUAUGUUUGAUUUUCAUUCUUUUUCUUUCUACUGCUUUGCUACUUUUUAUUGUACUUUUAUCCAUAGAUCCCUAAGCUAUUGACAUACGUAUAGAAGUCAUAAGGGUUAUAAAACGAGGCAUCCUUUAGUCCUACAACUUUAGUGACAUUUAAGGACAAAAAUUAAAGACCGGGUCUUAGAUAAUAUAGAUUUAGGAUGCAUGCUCCCUAUAGGGUAGAUACAUCAAAACAAAACUUAGUGACACGUUUUCCUAGGUUUAGUUCCCCUUAAUCUACUAAUAAUCAACCAAUGAAAACCAACCCUAAUUCAAUCCUUUAAAAUGCACUAAAACACUUAAUUUUUUUAUUCUAACCAUAAUUAAUAUUUCAUAAUAAUUAAAAAUGCCAAAUCUAAAUCAAGUUCAGACAAUCUAAUAAUAAACCCUUAACCAAUCUAAACUUAAAAGAUGUAGACUUAAGUUAGGGGAUCAAACAUAACGCUAAAAUCUAUUAGGAUAAAAGACUUUUAAAAUAUCAAACCUUAGACUAACCUUUAAAAAUCAAUCAAACAAAUUUGAUUAAUAAAUUGCCUAAUUCGCAUUUCUUUUCUAAUUUAUAACCAACUAAAAUAAUAUAACAAAAUUAAUUAUCACUGGGUAACCCAGAUCUACGAGGCUAUUAAGUUAGCCCCAAUGAGGGUGAAACCUCACGGUCUCGGUGUGAAACAAAGGUGAUAAUUAAUCAAUUACUAAAAUAAAACAUUUAAAAUUAAUCUCAAGAUAUUAAGAUUUGAACUUCAAUUAAAAAUCCCUUUUGCUCCUUUAACAAACAAAAAUACAAGUAACUCUAAUUAAAGUUUCCUACAUAGGACCUAUCCAAAACUACACAGCCUACACACACCUUAGACUUGUUUGGUUAGGACACGACUUCUAACCCUAGGUUAGGCUGACAUUUUUCUUUUGUUAUUCAGUGCUUACUACUUGUAUAUGUUUUAUAAAUGUUAAUAUUAAAUUUCCUGCUAGUUACAUUUCUAUUUAUUUGCAUUUCUUUUAUGAAUGACAUCUACGCUCAUUUGUAUAUUUUUCUUUCAUUUUUCUUGCGAGGUACAUUAGAGUAAUUUGCUAGCUUGAAGCUUUUAAGUGGCUGCGCCACAUGCUUUGGAUGGUCAAGAAUGACUUGCUUACUCAGAGCUUUUAAGUGACAGCGCCACAGUCAUGUAUAAUCUCUACAAAUUGUAAAGCAAAUUCUUUUAAUUAGAUAUCGAAAUUGCUACACAUCACACACGACUUGUUAAUAGGUAUUUUAGCAUGUUUAGAUAGCUGGCCUUAUGGUAGUUCACUAACGAAGCUUUGGCCCUAUAGGUCAAAGAUUGCCCCCUUCUGUGAGCCUUAGAGACCAUUAGGGUCAUUUAGGCCUGUAGAGUAGGCCACCCAGUUGUGCUAUUGGGCAUCAUUGUUUUCCCACACGAAGUGGGCAUCGCUAGGAUUUUGGCAUUUUUCUGGUUUUGGGUAUGAUACCCCCCUUUUCUGUGAGCCUUAGAGACCAUUAGGGUCAUUUAGGCCUGUAGAGUAGGCCACCCAUUAUGCCAUUGGCAUCGCUGUUUUCCCACACGAAGUGGGCAUUGCUAGGAUGAUUUUCUGUGCGGGUAUCUUGCCUGAAGGGUACCCUUAGUGUGUUUAUUUACUUUUUCUGUACUCUGAAUGUCAUGUAUGUAUUUGUUUUUACACACUUUGUUUCACAGUGCACUUUACUUCCAUUUAUGCAUUGCAUCAGUAGACCUAAGAAUAUUUUUAUAAUGCAUAUGUUUCAUGCAUCAUAUGUGGCAAUAAGUCUAUUCUUUUACAUAUUACAGAGUCUCUAAUUUAAAUCCUUGAUUCCUUAGGAUAGAACCUUCCCAUCUUGCAUACAUAUAGGACGAUUGGUUGUGCUUAGUAUUUUAGCUGGCUUCCUUUUUUUCAGGCAAGGAAUAAGUCCAGGAUUGCACUAGUUAGGUCGUAGAUGUUAGUAUCGUAUGUACGAUAUUACAUCUCUUAUAGAUUUAGGAUCUAAGGUGAGUGGUACGAGUGUACCUCUAUACGCCUUAUUGGUGGGCAAGCUCUCAAUUCUUUCGGAAGCCAUAAAUCCUACCCAUCCGCGUCACACAGAUGACGUCACCUCCCUCUUUCUCUCGUGUUUGCUUGAGAUGCGUUGCCGCUUUCUUUUCUCCAGUUUUCCCUUCUUCAGACCGGCCGAAUGUUGAGGGAACCACGCGUGAUUGAUUGAACCAAUUUGGGACCUUCCUCUUUGAUUAGGAAAGCCUAGAAUUUUCCCUUUGCAUUAAACCCAUUAGAGAAGAUAAUCUAACGUCCUUAAUCGAGAGUCUUCUUAGACCAAGGUCUAAGAUGUAAUUAACUACGUGGGCUUGCGUCCUUAGGAAACCGAUCACCACAAACAAAUAAACUCCAUUCGAGCUGAUGUAUCGAAUGAGGAAAAUCUCGUGAAUUUUGGGUUAUAUAUAUUAUUAUCCAUCGAGGUGUGUAGGUGAAAGCCGCUAUCCUCUAUGGCUAAUCGUAUGUAUAACUCCAUCUGCUCUUCCAUCGGGCUGCUUGUGUCGAUUGUAAAGGUCUACGACCAUUUUGUCCUAUGGGAUAGUGUGAUCGUACCCUUUGCAUUCGAACCACACGAGCAGAAUCCUUUCAGAGACCCACAACAUUCUUCUCAAUGUCUCCAGCUUCCCUUAUUAUCGGCAGUGUAAGCAACCACUUAAACAAUUCUGAAACACUUAAGCUGUGUUUGUAUGGUGGGAAUUUGAGUGAAAUAAAAUGAAUUUAAUUUAAUUUCCUUUUGUUUUCUUCAAUCUAAACAAAUAUUUUAAAAAACUAUUUAGCAUUAGUUGAUUUAACUAAAUUUACUAAAAAUGCAUGCUCCAUUGGUGGAGAUUAUGUGAACUUGGGUAUCAGCAUAUCAAAUUCUUCAUCAUCACCAUCUUCGUCCACAAAUCUUGAUGAUUAUUCAUUUGGUGAGGUGAUGCAAGUGGCUUAAUCAUCUAAUAUUAUUUUUCUUCUCUUUAAUUCUAAUAAUUUUAUACUGAUCUAAUUGGCAUUUUCAUGCUAAUUACUUAUAGAACUCCCUGCUCUGAAUAGUUUCAUGUGGUUGUUCAUGUUGCUUACUUCUCUUGUAAUGAUCUGACUUAAGAAUAAGGUAGCUGUGAUAGAUCAAAACUUUCUUUGAUUGAGAUUACUUAGUUAUGUUCGAGUUUUAGUACUAUACAAGUUAUUCAUGUGCAAAGACGAGGGUUUUAUGUUGCUAGAUUUUACGGAUCAUAUUAUCUCAUGUUCUUUAUAAUGUUGUCAAUAAUUUUUUAUUUCAUGUAGAAAAUGUAUGGAGGAAAGAAUAUUGAUGGUUUUUCAAAGCUCUUUCCUUCUGUACGGCUUGUUUUUGAAGAACAUAAUUAUAUUUUGUGAUUAACUAUAUCAUCCUGAUUGAAAUUUUGAGGCUAUUGUUUCUUGGUUUUUCUAGAAGACAUUUUAAGCAGGUUACACAGUUCUUAAAUAGCAUCCCUGUGUCUUUGAUCACAAAAGUUUUUUUCUUUUCCCGAAUUAAUUGACUGAAAAUGAUGAUUGUUGUUGUUUUAUCAUAAAAUAAAGCUUGUGAAUCAUGCACUGUAAAUUAUUUAACUAUUUUUCUUCCAGUUUAUUUAUUUUUUGUAGCUAUCCGAUGAAGAUCCAAAUUUUUAAUAUCUGGCCCAGUUGAUUCUCAAAAUUUCUGAAUAUUUUCAUAAAAAAUCGGCACGAUAUCUGUCAUUUUGCAUGCGUUUGAAUAUUUUCAUAAAAACCACGAUAAUGUUUUGAUUCCUGCACUUACAAAUAGUUCCAAAAGAGAUAAAUUUUGUGAAGGCAGGGGAAUAUUAAGGUGCCUGUUGACCUCGAUUUUCGUUCGAGUGCCCUCAAAGGCAUUCGAUCACUUUGAUUCAACCUCGUAGAGCCAGAUUUGAAUUCGAUUCGAUCCGAAUCGAGUCAAAUUAGACUCAAUCAUGUUCAAUCACGCCUGGAUAGUCCGCUUCGACCGCGACGAGUUUAAUUUGACCCAAAUCUAUCUCAAUUUGAGUUUAAUUUUAUUUAAUUGAAUUGAUUGAGCCUAAUCCCAAUUCUAAAUCAAGCCAAUUCGAAUCAAAUUCAUAUCCAAACCCAACUCAAAUCAGCCUAGAUCAAUUCUAAUUAAAUUCCAAGUCUUUUUUUAAUCAAUUUGAAUAGCUUAUCAAAUCGGGAAAUAGAUCGAACGGUCUGAGUCAAUUGACCGUUUAUUCGAGGCUUUGGCGUGAUAUAUGGCUAUCUGCGAUCGUCAGAGAUAUGAAGCAAAAAAAAAAAAAAAAAAAAUCCUCGUGAGACCGGAUGGGCACCCCCUCCUCUCGGGCGGUUCCUUCUUGAUUCGCUCCUUCUCCCUCUCUUUCUCGAUUUCGCACAGCCUCCCUCUCUCGUGCUUCUCUAUUCACCUCCUCGAUCGCAAGGAGAACGAAGGCCCUCCCGUGCUCCCUUCGGUCGGAACCCAAGAGCCGAAGCUCUUGCUCCCUCUCCCUCUCUCGCGUGAGCCAGGGGAGAUCGGACCCGAGCCCGCUGCCCCGUCUGACGGAAGCUCCGCCGAACCCAACGCCUGGAUCGACUCCUCCUCCUUGCAAGGUGAGUAAUUUCUUCCCCUUCUCCUCAUCUCCAUGCUUCCAUUUCUUCUUCUCAGCCUUUUUCUUCCUCUUCUUGGCUUCUUCUUCAUUUCUUGAUUUCUCAUCCAGAUUUCUUCUUCUCCUUUCUUUCUUCUUUUCCUUCUCUCUUUUCCCAUUGCUCUUUCUCACUGUCCAAGUUAAAUGGAUUUGAUAGGAAGUUCAUCUUGUUUAGAUGAUGGUGAUAUGUGUAGAUUUACUUAGAACAAAACUUAUUUUAGAAUGGUUAAUUGUUUAAGUCAUAUGAUUUCCUAUGAUUUCUUUCAUCCUUGUUGCUUGUAAGGAUUUUAUUGCACUUUAUAAUUGCUGGAUGUGCUAUGUUGAGUUAUGUUGCUUGAAAACGAGUAGCUAAUGUGUGGAAUUUGUACUUAAUUCAUGUUAUAUCUUUUAGAAGUUUUAGGCGUGAGCUUUGAAGGCUUAUAAGGGUAUCAUGUCAUCUCUUCAUCAAACUAUGCAUAUGAGGUGUUUGAUGAAAUGCCCUUUAAGAAAGAUUUGGAUAUUUGGUUAAUGACUCAUGAAGCUUUGAGCCAUGUUGUUCCCUUAGAUAUUCAUGCUUGUGAAAUCCAUCCCAAAAUCUCCUUAUUGUAGUGUUUAAGAGUUUUCUUUUUAACUAGUAGUAUUGGUAGUGAGUUUUGAUGAAUUUCAAGUAACUUUUGUGGUUGUUAUGUUAUUUGGAGAAAUCUACAUGACAUUCUCUCAUUUUCCUAUAAAUACUCAUGUGUUGCAAGAAGAGAAAAGAGGUCUUGACCCCUUUCGUUGUGAGAUGAGUUUAGGGAAUAUUGGAGAAGUUGUUUGUUGAAUGUGCAUCUAAACAUAGUGAUGUAUUCUUGUGUGAAAUGCCUUUUACAAACAUGUGGUUUGUUCUCAAAAAAGUGUAGUUCUAUACCAUGUGUAGCUAGAUCAAGGUGCUUCAUGGUGUAUAUUUGUGUUAGUACUCACAUAUGACUUGAUGUAUUUAGUGAAUGUCAUUUAGCUAAACAAUCACACUCUCUUAUGAUUCAUGAUUAGUUGAUGGGAUUUUAGGCGAUUCGAUGAUUAAGUUGCUUCAUUACUAUUGCUCUCUUUUUAUAUUUUCCUACAAGUAAAGUGAUUAUUUGGUGCAUAUCAAUGGUGCCAUAUUGAAUGGUAUUCUCCUUAUUUGUCAUGUCAAUGUGUAGGAAGAUGAAGGGUAUGCCAAGUAUCAAAUAUGCUAAAUAAUCUCUUGUAGCAUGUAUGAUCACCAUAGGUUCCAUAUGUUUUUGUACUUGGGUUAAAGUGCUCAAAUCAUAUUUUAGAAAAAUAUGAUCAUGCGAUAUCACUUGUUUGAAAAGGUCGUCUUAUUGGCAUAAAUAAGUUUCAUAUAGCAUAUGUUGGAAGACCUCCUUGAGUUUCUUUUGGGUGGAUCUCUCAUUGCUUCUUUGUGAAAAUUGCUACUGUUUUUAUAAUCUUUUCCCACUAUUUUUGUAAGAAACAAGUGCAGAUUUUGGAGGUUUUACCGCUGUUUUUGCAUAAGAAUCCUCACCGCAUUCAAAUGGAUCUUGCAUUACUUCUUGGUAGGGAUUCCUACAGUUUUUAUAAACUUUUCUCACUGUUUUUUGUAAGAAACAAGUGCAGAUUUUGGAGGUUUUAUCGCUGUUUUUGCAUAAGGAUCUUUAUGGCAUUUGGGUAGGCCUUUCAUAGCUCUUAUGUAAGAAUCCCUACAUCUUUUAUAUAGUUUUAUGGUUGAUUUUUGUGGAGGGUUAGUGCAGAUUUUAUUGUAAGGUUUUUGUAAAGAUUGACACAUGUCUCCUUUGGAUAUCGCUCUUGUUUUAUGUUGCAAAAUCAUAUGCUUAACAUACAAACGCAUGAUUUCACUUGCCGAUAGGAGAUACUUAUGCAUUCUUUUAUAUUCUAAUAUCAAAUAUAAAUGCAAUUCUCUUUCAGAUAUUUUUUUGGUCAUAUACAACAUGAAAAUGAAAUUUUGUUGGAAAGUAAUGAUGUGCCUUAUGCUUCAAGUAGGGGUUUCUCCACCGAAUCGAUGCAAGUGUGUAUUUUUAUGCAGUUGUGAGUUUGACAUGCCUUCUAGAAGUAGAAAAGGGAUGAGUUGGCAUCAAAUUUAUAUCUAAUAGUUAUAUUUUGGUUGAGCUUCAAAAUUAGAUAAUCAAUUUGGUCGCCUGUCAUAUAACUACAACCCUCAAUAUCACAUAGGCUUGGUUUCACUAUGAUAAUCUUGGUGGAGACAUAAAAAGUAAUUUGAUACAUGCUUAGUUAGUGCAUUUGUAGGUUCCAAACACAUCUUUUCUGUAUUUCAUUAACUAUAAAUUGAUUAGGAUGAGUUUGAGAGUUUUUACCAGAUUUAUUAUGUGCAUUCGUGAUUCUUUUUAGAUGAAGGUUUAUAUAAAUGUAGCGUUUCAUAUGAUUGUUUGAAAGGAAGAUAACAUGAUGAAAGAUCAAAUUAGUUGGGUUAUUGUUGAUGAAUAAAUUUUGGAAAGCAUUUAUUUGGCUCGUACGUUAAAAGAAAGAGGGCUUUGUGAAUUGAUUCAUGUUGAAAGAGUGUUAUGAUUUGCUUUAUAUUAUGAAAUUGGAUUUCUUAUAAUUUGCUCUCAUUGUUACUUUAUGAGUACUUACAUUUGUUGAAAAGAUUUGGGAAGGUUUUGCGAAUGUUUAAAAUGAAAGCUUUUAUGUGUUUUUUUUUUCUUUUCUUUUCUUUUUGAAGAUUUUGAUUUCUAUACCCCACUCCAAAUAAAAAAAGAGGCACUUGAUUGUUGGUCAUUUUUGUAGUGUUUUGGGUCAAAAAAAGAAGAAGAGAUUUUGGUAGAUAAUUUUUGUAAGGUUUUGUGUGGCAUUUAAUUUAGAAGUUCUUACAAGUCAUUUUGAGAUUUAUAAUUAGGCUUGUGUAGUAGGGUCCUUUAGUGUCUUUUGGAAACAAUUGGUGCUUUCUCAUUUGAGUUAGACUCUCUUAGUGUUUAUUUCUAAAAGAUGAGUUUUGAGAUUUGAGACUUUAAGUAGUUUUGUGUUGGAAGGCUUUUAGUGUCUUUUUGGAGCAAGGUAGUCCUUACUUAUUUGAGUUAUCUUUCUUUAAUAUUAGCUUCUAAAAAAAAUAUAGAAUUUUGGAUAAAUAUAAAACAAAAGAAAAUCUUAUUUUAAGUUUAUUUUUAGGAAUUUGUUUCCCUUAGUUGCUUUAGGCUUUAUUUAGAGUGUGUUGUAGGUAGAUGUUUCAAAUGUAUCAAAUGCUUUAUUUGAAUUUUGGGGGCAACAAAGGGCAUUGUAAAUGUUGCUUUAGGGUACACUUGACUUCAAAGAAGUGUGCCCAAUAACAAUAAUGCCUACAUCCUUUUUGUAUUUGAUUUACAUUAUUUUUUUUCUUUUCAUUGCAUCUAAUUUUCUUUUGCUUUGCUUUUAUUUUUCUUUGUCGUUUCUUUCAUGUUUUGAUACUAAACACUUGCAAAAUGAGGAGAAUCCAAAACACAAAUGGCUCAACCGGUAUACAGAAAUAUACGUUCUUUAGUUUUAUAACAUUUUCAUUUAUUUAUGUCUUUAGUUACUCAGUAUAAAGAACAUGCUCUUACACCAUUCUUUUGUGUUUUACGAUUACCUUUUGGAAAGCAAUGGAUAAGGAACACUGGAGCACUUAGAGAAGGAGCAAGGACAACCAGAUCCGAGCAUCAAUCGCCCCUAUUCAUUCCGGUAGGGGUGUUACGGGCGUAACCACUGGGUCGUAGCCCCCGGUGCUGAAGAAGAUGCUUUCUACUACAUGUCCUUAUUUUCCUUAAAGUUUAACAGCCAUGUGCAACAUAUUCAUUCUCUGAUCGGUAUCAUGGUAUGAUGGCAACCUACGUGCCUCAGGCUUUGGUAAAUGGUAUUUGGCAAUCAGCCUUCCUUCAAAUUUGUUAUUAAUUAAAAUAAUGUAGCUGUUUGGAUCACAUAAUACUCAUAUUAGUUCAUAAAUCAUAUUCCAGCCCACUUCUUCUAUUGCUAAUAAACAGAUGCAUUCCAUCACGUGCAUCCUCAGUUUCUUGGAAUGCCACAUGCUCGAAUGCCUUUACCCUUCGAAAUUGCAGAGGAUCUUGUUUAUGUAAAUGCAAAGCAGUACCAUGGAAUUUUUAAGGAUAAGCAGUCACGUUCCAAGGAAAAACUUGAAAAGAAGACUAUAAAGUCAAGAAAGGUACCUUUCAAAUCGUUAACUUUGAAUUCUUCAACUUCUUCCCAAAUUAAUUUCACUUGCCUACGCCAAUUGUCACACGCACUUAACCCCGAGUUAGGAAUUCUUCCAAUGAUUCUUCAGAUAUUGCGAUGGUACCGGAGCAGCUUGGAUGGCCUGCUAAUCUAAGGGAAAUCUCUACGCGUGUGCAUCAUCAUCGCAACAAAACAGGUGCGUGGAUCUGCUUAAGGAUGGAACCAAGUCAAAUAUGAGCCCCUACCUCCUUAUUUCUUUGCUUAUCUUCUCUGAAACAGGUUUUCCACUGCUCAGCAUAAAUACGUGAGUGCUGUAGUGAUACUUAACCCAAAAUUAAUCAUAUUUCUAACUUGUUAGUAUAAGGGCCUAUUUGGUUGCGGUUUUAUGGCAUGAUUGAAAAUGCUAUUUGGUGGUAGAUUUUUAGCAGGAUUAAAUCUAUAUUUAUAUAAAAUCCUGCCAAGCUGUUUUUGUUGGGAUUUUAAUUGAAUCGAAGAAUUAUUAAUUUUAGGGGAAGAUUGGAUUUCAUUGAUUUAGGUGUUGUUUGAUAGCAACAUUUCACAUGAUUUAACCACAAUUAAUAUAAAAUGUUAUAACCAUAAAUUGUUACUCAUUGUAGACUUAUUUGUUGCGGCCUUUUCCUUCAUCUUCUUCUGCUUGUUUGAUUUUAAAAAAGGUAAACUUAUUACGGAAAAAAAUUUAGCCUCUGGUUAUUCCUACAUUUAUUGUUCUAUUGUAUUUCUUAUUAAUCUUGUUGAAAUUCUUUAAAUUUUUUUAUCCUAGUCAUAAAUUUACUGUGAAGAUGGACAUAAAUCGUUCUCCUCUUGAUGUCAGUGUCUUAAUGAAUCAGGACAUUGUUCUCAGGCUUAGGAAAGUUGAAUGUGGAGAAAUUGAGCUACAAUUGCGUUUAGUUGAGCUUCCAAUCUACAAAAGCUCACACCUAUACCUAAGUGCAUAUUGUUUGAUUAUUUUGCAGAUCCUUUUGAUGGACUAAUCAUGCAUUAAUAUAUAUAUAUAUUUUAAUGAUGCAUAUGUUGAACCAGAUAUUUUUAUCUUUCUUUCGAGAACUCGGUUGUAGUUAUCUUCAAUAAUAGUUACGUUUAUGUUUGAUUUGGGACAUCUUCUUUAUUGCUUAUUAAAUUAUCUUUUU
This is a long non-coding RNA of Dendrobium catenatum, 15881 nucleotides long. RefSeq lists it as uncharacterized. Lineage: Eukaryota; Viridiplantae; Streptophyta; Magnoliopsida; Asparagales; Orchidaceae. The transcript has 3 exons. The record is from RefSeq and is a predicted model, not a curated record.